This 254-nucleotide ribosomal RNA is filed under the name uncultured bacterium. RNAcentral describes it as "partial 16S ribosomal RNA". It matches the Rfam family "Bacterial small subunit ribosomal RNA", at positions 524 to 776 of the family's 1533-position model. The record is from RNAcentral.
UACGUAGGGUGCAAGCGUUUGUCCGGAAUUAUUGGGCGUAAAGAGCUCGUAGGCGGUCUGUCGCGUCGAAUGUGAAAACCCGGGGCUCAACCCCGGGCCUGCAUUCGAUACGGGCAGACUAGAGUUCGGUAGGGGAGUCUGGAAUUCCUGGUGUAGCGGCGAAAUGCGCAGAUAUCAGGAGGAACACCGGUGGCGAAGGCGGGACUCUGGGCCGAUACUGACGCUGAGGAGCGAAAGCGUGGGGAGCAAACAGG